This 31-nucleotide non-coding RNA is filed under the name Rattus norvegicus (Norway rat). The record is from RNAcentral. Lineage: Eukaryota; Metazoa; Chordata; Mammalia; Rodentia; Muridae.
UAAUGGUAUAUGGGCUACUCAUAUCGGCCAU